Molecule: ribosomal RNA, 420 nt
Filed under: Fusobacteriota bacterium
Lineage: Bacteria; Fusobacteriati; Fusobacteriota
Description: Fusobacteria bacterium partial 16S ribosomal RNA
Rfam family: Bacterial small subunit ribosomal RNA
Source: RNAcentral
UGGGGGAUAUUGCACAAUGGGCGAAAGCCUGAUGCAGCGACGCCGCGUGGGGGAUGAAGGCCUUCGGGUUGUAAACUUCUUUUGCUCUGAACAAGGCAUGCCUUUGGGGUGUGUUGAGUGUAGGGGUUGAUUAGCGCCGGCUAACUACGUGCCAGCAGCCGCGGUAAUACGUAGGGCGCGAGCGUUGUCCGGAAUUAUUGGGCGUAAAGGGCUUGUAGGUGGCUGGUUGCGUCUGUCGUGAAAGCUCAUGGCUUAACUGUGGGUUUGCGGUGGGUACGGGCUGGCUUGAGUGCAGUAGGGGAGGCUGGAAUUCCUGGUGUAGCGGUGGAAGGCGCAGAUAUCAGGAGGAAUACCGGUGGCGAAGGCGGGUCUCUGGGCUGUUACUGACGCUGAGGAGCGAAAGCGUGGGGAGCGAACAGG